RNAcentral lists this small nuclear RNA (101 nucleotides) under Catagonus wagneri (Chacoan peccary). The record is from RNAcentral. Lineage: Eukaryota; Metazoa; Chordata; Mammalia; Artiodactyla; Tayassuidae.
UUGCUUUGGUAACACAUACACUAAAAUUGGAGUGAUACAGAGAAGAUGCUAUGGCCCCUGAGCAAGGAUGAAUACAAAUUUAUAAAGCGUUCCAGAUUUUU